This 253-nucleotide ribosomal RNA is filed under the name uncultured bacterium. Its description in RNAcentral is "partial 16S ribosomal RNA". It matches the Rfam family "Bacterial small subunit ribosomal RNA", at positions 524 to 776 of the family's 1533-position model. The record is from RNAcentral.
UACGGAGGGUGCAAGCGUUAUCCGGAUUCACUGGGUUUAAAGGGUGUGUAGGCGGAUCUUUAAGUCCGUGGUGAAAUCUCUGAGCUUAACUCAGAAACUGCCAUGGAUACUAUUGGUCUUGAAUCUUGUUGAGGUGGGCGGAAUACAUCAUGUAGCGGUGAAAUGCUUAGAUAUGAUGUAGAACACCGAUUGCGAAGGCAGCUCACUAAGCAAGUAUUGACGCUGAGGCACGAAAGCGUGGGGAUCAAACAGG